This 492-nucleotide ribosomal RNA is filed under the name uncultured bacterium. Its description in RNAcentral is "partial 16S ribosomal RNA". It matches the Rfam family "Bacterial small subunit ribosomal RNA", at positions 29 to 507 of the family's 1533-position model. The record is from RNAcentral.
AGUGAACGCUGGCGGUAUGCCUAACACAUGCAAGUCGAACGGCAGCACAGUAAGAGCUUGCUCUUACGGGUGGCGAGUGGCGGACGGGUGAGGAAUACAUCGGAAUCUACUUUUUCGUGGGGGAUAACGUAGGGAAACUUACGCUAAUACCGCAUACGACCUACGGGUGAAAGCAGGGGAUCUUCGGACCUUGCGCGAUUGUAUGAGCCGAUGUCGGAUUAGCUAGUUGGCGGGGUAAAGGCCCACCAAGGCGACGAUCCGUAGCUGGUCUGAGAGGAUGAUCAGCCACACUGGAACUGAGACACGGUCCAGACUCCUACGGGAGGCAGCAGUGGGGAAUAUUGGGCAAUGGGCGAAAGCCUGAUCCAGCAAUACCGCGUGGGUGAAGAAGGCCUUCGGGUUGUAAAGCCCUGUUGUUGGGAAAGAAAAGCAGCAGGUUAAUACCCCGCUGUUCUGACGGUACCCAAAGAAUAAGCACCGGCUAACUUCGUG